RNAcentral lists this long non-coding RNA (450 nucleotides) under Coturnix japonica (Japanese quail). Its description in RNAcentral is "lncRNA (ENSCJPG00005002093.1)". Lineage: Eukaryota; Metazoa; Chordata; Aves; Galliformes; Phasianidae. The record is from RNAcentral.
AUGGGGUGGCUGUGUCUAUGGGCUGUCUAUGGGGUGGCUGUGUCUAUGGGGCAGCUGUGUCUAUGGGGUGUCUGUCUAUGGGGUGUCUGUCUAUGGGGUGCCUGUCUAUGGGGCAGCUGUCUAUGGGGUGUCUGUGUCUAUGGGGUGGCUGUGGUUAUGGGGCAGCUGUAUCUAUGGGCUGUCUAUGGGGCAGCUGUAGUUAUGGGGCAGUCUAUGGGGUUUUCUCACCGUCUCCGUGUGCCCCGUGGGGUGUCUAUGGGGUGGCUGUGUCUAUGGGGUGUCUAUGGGGUGGCUGUGUCUAUGGGGUGUCUAUGGGGUGUCUGUCUAUGGGGCAGCUGUAGUUAUGGGGCAGUCUAUGGGGUUUCCUCACCGUCUCCGUGUGCCCCGUGGGGUGUCUAUGGGGCAGCUAUGUCUAUGGGGUGUCUAUGGGGUGUCUGUCUAUGGGGCAAG